RNAcentral lists this ribosomal RNA (468 nucleotides) under uncultured bacterium. RNAcentral's name for it is "partial 16S ribosomal RNA". It matches the Rfam family "Bacterial small subunit ribosomal RNA", at positions 28 to 507 of the family's 1533-position model. The record is from RNAcentral.
GACGAACGCUGGCGGCGUGCUUAACACAUGCAAGUCGAACGGAAAGGCCCUGCUUUUGUGGGGUGCUCGAGUGGCGAACGGGUGAGUAACACGUGAGUAACCUGCCCUUGACUUUGGGAUAACUUCAGGAAACUGGGGCUAAUACCGGAUAGGAGCUCCUGCUGCAUGGUGGGGGUUGGAAAGUUUCGGCGGUUGGGGAUGGACGCGCGGCUUAUCAGCUUGUUGGUGGGGUAGUGGCUUACCAAGGCUUUGACGGGUAGCAGGCCUGAGAGGGUGACCGGGCACAUUGGGACUGAGAUAGGGCCCAGACGCCAACGGGAGGCAACAGUGGGGAAUAUUGCACAAUGGGCGGAAGCGUGAUGCAGCAACGCCGCGUGCGGGAAGCCGGCCUUCGGGUUGUAAACCGCUUUCGCCUGUGACGAAGCGUGAGUGACGGUACUGGGUAAAGAAGCACCGGCUAACUACGUG